Anolis carolinensis (green anole) is the source of this 7076-nucleotide long non-coding RNA. RefSeq lists it as uncharacterized. Lineage: Eukaryota; Metazoa; Chordata; Lepidosauria; Squamata; Anolidae. The record is from RefSeq and is a predicted model, not a curated record. The transcript is spliced from 2 exons.
GAUGACGACAGCGCGCGUGACGCUGCAGUCUCGUGACAGCCCCUCCGAGAAAGUCCGCCAGCGGGAAAGGACUUGUUUGUGUGUCUGUGUGUGGAACAACUGCGCAUGUGCGAACGCGACUCUUAUGCAGCGAAGAGCAAAGGAUGAGGGAAGCGACAGAAUGAGGCAGAGAGAAUUAAGCCAGGAGGAGGAUCACGAUUUGAGGAAGAAAGUAGGCUCAGAGAUAAUUCUGUACCUUAACUUCUACUAUUCCCAGCAAUUCUGGCAAGUGGUCAGCAAUGGUGGAAAUUGCAGUCCAACAGACCUGGCCACCAGUCAGCCAUGGCCAGUGAAACUCUUAAUUGGGCUUGGAAGAUAAUUGACAAGUUCAUGUCUUUUAGCAUUGGGUUAACAUCCAGAAUUCUGAAAUCUGAAAUAAAGAUAUUUGCUUUCCAAUGGCUUAGUUUAUACAAAUUUGGUUUAGUGCACAAAAUUGUAUAGUGUUACAAACACUCAAGUUAUACAUGAUUCUUCAUGGAGAAAAGGAACAUAUUAUAUGCUUUUGUUUUAUGUUCACUUUUCCCAAAAAGUACAUUCUCAAUUUUCUUGUAAGAGUACUGGAGAUGUAUGCUAAUUCUUUAAAUAGUCUUAUCAUGAACAUACAGGUUGAACAGUUAGCAAAUAGUCAAACACAUGAUAAUCAUGAUUUGUUACUUGCUUCUCCUCACAACAUGAGGCGGAGCAUAACAUAGUUAAAACGCAUCAUCACAAAAACAUUCAAUAAAAUGCAUAUAUUGAAACAUUGUUAUAUAAAAUGCACACACUAAGAUACAUGAAACAAAGAUUAAAAUACAAUCAUCAUAGAAUGUAAAUUUCAAAUUCACGGUUUAAAAUUUACCAGGUAUGCUAACUGGAAGAGAUUCAAGUUGUAUCUUGCAUUCCUACAACUGAUUUUGCUGUCAAAUCUCCCGCAGAUUAUUCACAGUCUUGGUGCAGCUUAUGUAAAAGUUCUCUAAGUAAUGGCCACUAGUCAGGUUCUGGAGUGGUUGGAGUUAAGUGUCCACUGUAGAUUGUACAGGAGAAGGUGAUCCUGUAGGUAGCCAAAACCACAUAGUGCUUUAAAGGCCAAAACCAACACUUUGUUCUUUGCCCGGAAGCUAAUUGGCAACCAGUGGAGUGACUUUAGUGUGGGUGUAAUAUACUCAGUCCUGGAUGUUCUUAUAACAAGUCUGGCUGCUAUGUUUGGAGCUAAUUGGAGUUUCCAAACUUGGUACAGAGGUAGCCUAAUGUAAAGUGCAUCGCAGAAGUCCAACCUUGAGGUUACCGCUACCAUCUUUAGGUCCUCCGAUUCCAAGAAGGGGUGCAGGUGACAUAUCAUCCAAAGCUGGUAGUAAGCACUCCUGACCAUCGCAUUUACCUGGUCUGACAUUUGGAGAGACAAAUCUAGAUGCACUACAAACACAAUCUUGGGGGGGGGGGGGGUAACCCCACCCAGAACUGGUUGACAUGCCUCCAUCCCCAGGUUUUAUAAUGGAUAUGAUUAAAAUUACGCAGAAAUGUGGCUAUAUUUAGAGACAUAAUUAUGAAUUUCAGUACACUGCCAUAUGUAUCUAUAUUUCUACAUUAUGGGAAUAAUGACUGCAUUAUGGUAACAUAGAACAAUGCAACGUGCCUUGAAGCUGCUACCACAUUAUUAAACAAAUAACACCAUCUGUUGUAGAAUAAUGUUGGUUCUAAAAUAGAUGGUUUUCUUAGCAUAUAGGUAAUUUUCAAGCUGGACUACAGUAUUUGUGAAUUCAUCAGAGGCCAGGCUGAAAUGCACAGCUUCUUUAUGUUAUUUAAGAGAAAAUAAUUUCUUCUCUUCAGCACACAGUGCUUGUCAAGCUUACAUGUGUAUGUACCUUCAAUUCACCUGUCCACCUAUGAAAAUUCCAUUAGUUUGAUAGGAUUUUCUUAGACAAAGAAUACUUAGUGAUGGUUGGAGCAUAAUACAUUAUCAGCAUUCUGAUUUAUUCUGUAGUUGCAGCUCAGUCUAUGCUAACCUCAGAUUUUCUACUAAAUUUGCUCCUAUCCCCCACUAUUUUGCUCCUAUAAUCUGUGAGGAGGUUAUGUUUCCAUACUCUUGUUAUUUCAAAUGCAUCUCUGUGAACUCCAGUCAAUAUCCUGCGUCCUUUUUUGUGAAUUAUGGCGUUCAGCUGUGAAACUCUGCACCUAUAGAUAGUAUGGUUGGGUCUGAUUAAUAACUAUAAAUAACUAAAUAAAAAUAAAGUUUAUGGUAAUCAUAUUAUAGGGUUUUCUUGGCAACAUUUACUUAGAUGAAGUUUGCCAUUGCAUUUUCACUUCAGCUUGUGACUAGUCCAAGGCCAUCCUGUGGUUUCUUCAGCUAAGAAUGCAGAUUUGGACUGUUAGUGUUCUAGUCCAACUACUUCACAUUGGCUCCAUUUUGCCUACCUGGUUUUUCUAGCUCUGAGAAGGGCUUUAGGAAACCCCAACAAAAGGCUUUGGGUCUCAGUUGUGAUCCAUGGACCAUACUUUGCCCAAUCCUGGUGUGCAAAAAUAGCUGUACUGCAUGAUUGACUGUGUAGAUUACUUCCUAGAAGCAGAUAAUGGCAACAUACUGUACUUAUUCAUAGGGAUCUAAUUGUAGUACAGAGUAAAUGACAGCCUGAAGUUUGUAGAAUUCUUUGAAUUGUGCAUGUAUCAUAUGGUGGCUGUAUCCCGUAGAAAUCUAAUGGGGCUGCUGAUCGACUGCAGCCUCCCUACAACAUAAAAAUGCAAGGGCUAUUAUUUAUUUAUUUAUUUAUUUUACAGCAUUUAUACCCUGCCCGUCUCACCUGACGGGACUUAGGGCGGCUCACAGAGAUUGGCAAAAUUUAAUUAUUAUUAUUAUUAUUAUUAUUAUACCCCGCCCCAUCUCUCUGAGGGGACUCGGGGCAGCUUACAUGGGGCCAAGCCCAGGCAACAAGCAAUAUAAAACUCAACAAUAAAAACAAAUCAUAAAUGCCCCAAAGCACCAGAUCCUGUUUGAUCUUGGAAGCUAAACAGAGUUAGCCCUGGUUCGUCCACCAAUAAAUACCAGAUGCCAUAGACCACUGCUUCUUAAACUGUGGGUCCUGACCUCAAAUGGGGUCCCCUUAGCUUGAUGUUGGGAUCACUAAAACAUUAGCAACAGUAAAAUGUUUCAGAAGGCCACCUAGACAUUUGCACAAAUCUGUUACCAACAACAUGCAAUUUUUAUUGUCGACUUUGCAGAAAUUGCUUCAGCUAUACUGCAUAAAAAGGUAAAUCAGCCUGUUUAGCAAGCCUUGCAAAUGUUGGUUUGUUACCAGUAAACGUUUUGAUUUCUAUGGCUAUUUUAUAUACCUGUAUACCCAGGGUCACACAAAUAUUUCUAAGGUGGAAAGGGGUCCCAAGUGGAAAAGUUUAGUAAGCCCUGCUCUAGACUGUAUUUCAGAGGAAGGAACUAGCAAAACACUUCUAAGUAUUCUUCUAAGAAAACUAUGAAAUGUAACAAAUGACUUAAGACAAGUCACACACAUACACACACAGAAGUGAGCACAUCCUGGGUUCUACCAGUUGUGUCAAUUCCAAUUUUACAAGCAAUUACAUGUACUGUGAAAGUCAGCGCCAUCAUUUGACUUCCCACCUAUUACUUUCUAAGCUCAGGUUCAAUGUCUUUGUUUUGCCUUAUAUUCUGAUUUUGCGCACAUGUAUUUUAGUGAUUAAAUGUUGUUCCUCUAGUGCAGGCAUGGAAAAGCUAAGGCCUGGGGGCCGAAUGUAGUCCCCUGGGUGCUUACUUCAGGCCCUCCUCAUUAUCCCUUUCCUCUUGCCAUAAGGACACAGUGGCCCAUCGUGUCCUUAUGCUUAAAAGAUGGGGAAGGAAGGCACGCAGCAGCUGAGAGCCCUCUGAAGCACUCACAGCCGCUGCAUGUCUCGCCCUUCUGGCAUAACGACGUUGCAAGCGGCCGCAUCUUUAUGCCAGGAGGACGGCUCAAGGAAGGCAUGCAACGACUAAGAGUCCUCCAGAGCACUUUCAACCACCGCCUGUCUCGCCCUCCUCCCAGCAUAAUGCCAAGAGGGCAACCUGAGGAUUGGAGGAGGAGGAUCAGGACAGUCGCUGAAUAUUGGAAAUAACAACCUUCUUCAAGCCUUUUCUAGUAAUGUUUAUCUAUGAACCUGUUGCUUACUGUUUCCUUUAUGUAUGUUGUGGUAUGCAGUUUCCUUGACUCCAUGGUUCUCCCUCCCUCUCUCUUUCCCUCCCUCCCUCCUCCUCUCUCCCCUUUCCCUUCCUCUCUCUCUCUCUCUCUCACACACACACAUACACACACACACACACACACAAACACACACAUCUCAAACAUAUCUGAAACUGGACUGAUAAGUUUUGUACUUAUGUAUGCUGAACACAUGAAUGUGGUGAGUAAACCAAAUACAUUCUUUUUUUCAAAGCCUGCUUCAUUUUUGUCUCUUAAAUGCACAAUAUAAAACAAGCUGUUUUAUGGGAGAGUAUAUAUUUUGGGCACUGAAAAACACUUCUAAAGCUCUGCUGUUUUUAUGCACUGGCAAAUCUCUGUUUUCUAACAGAUCAGAAAUAACAGGUUAUUCAGUCUAACAACUGAAACCAUUGCCUUGCGUAAUUAUAUCUGGUUGCAUACCCCAAGAGAAGAUUCUACCCUAAAGGGUUUUUGGCUUUUCUCUGAAAGGUCAUGUUUUUCUUUUUAAAAGUUAUGAUUUCCUAAAGGUGUUUUUCCAAAAGGUUAUGAAUGCCAUUUUCCAAAACCGCGUGUCUUGCCUUCCCCCUGGCAUAAGGAUGUGGUGAGCAUCCGGACCUGCAGUGCUGCCCCAAAGCAAAAAAAAAUUGCCUAUGCCUGCUCUAAUGGCACCAGAUGCCGUGUGAUUCUGGAAGCUAAGUGGGAUUGGUUCUGAUUAAUCUUGGAUGGAAUACCCCCAUUGAAUGCAGGGUACUGUAGGCUAUUGUCUCAGAACAUUUCUUUUCUAAACAACCCAUAUGUUAAUGGGCCACUUGAAACUGCAUCCAUACACAUGUAUAACCUAACCACACAAAGUAAGAAUGUCUGUUGUCUCUUUCUGAAACAUUGAGUUACCAACACCUUAUACUGAGCCUGUAGGUGGCAGCAGCUGCCUCGACAGAGAGCUUCAGCCCAAAUCCUAUAUAUUUCAGCUGUUUGCUUUGCUGGGGUUUUUGCAGUGGCCACAGUGGAGACCUAUGCAGAAAACUUACUCGUAUGAGUUUGAUUUAAAGAACAGACUGACACAAUCCUUCCCCACAUCAGAAUAAAGAAAGCUGCCCAAGCAUAUUUUUUUAAAAGAAGAAAGGGAGCCCCAACUUCCAGCAGGGAGUUGAAGAACUUGAGUAAUCCAUCACAACAGUUGUACUGAAACAAGAAGAGAAAUCGAUCUUUCUCCCUUUUGGCCUGAAUGUUAUGGACAAGUAUGUGUGCAUGGAAUGUACAAGAGUGAAAAUUGUUGCAUGCUUUUAAGAGAACAAAACUCAACAUCUUUUAGGAAACAAGGUGUUAUUCUCAAAUGACAAGCAGAACAAUUAAGCAAAACAGUUUUAAUUAUAAAAAUGCAUUUUAUUUAUUACCUGUCUCUACUGAUGGCUCGAGGCUGGGUACAACAAAUUCAAAAACAAAUGAACAUAAAAAUACAAUUAAUUACUAAAAUUUUAGGGAGAAGCAGCAGUCAUAUCAUCAUUUCAUAUAGAUUUCUAGACAGAGUGUGUGUUAUGUGAAUUCAUCUGGGAGCCAGUCAGAAAAGCCAAUACAAGCAAAGUACAUAUUAAUUUUGUGAAGAUACUAAGAUAUUUUUUUUUGCAUUAGGCCUCUAGCUGCUACAUCAAACUCAGCCCAUAGAUCAACAGUAGAAUUAAGGUACAUCUUGGUGAUGUAGUGGGACUACUUGGCUGCAGGAUGCUUGCAAAGGAUCCCAUUUUUUAAAGAUCGAGUUAUAGAUUUGAAAUUGGAGUGCAUGCUCAGAAAGAUUGUGUUGUGACUGCGCCUUCGGGGAUUAUGGUUGAUGGUGAUGGAAUUCGAAGAGGAAGAAAAAACCCUCGUGAUGAGGGUUCACUGGAGGAGUUGCGCAGGAAGCGACUUAGAGAGCUAUAUGGGGGAUCUUCUGAGGAAGAUUCAGAUGGGGAGAUGGAUGCUGAGGAACAGGUGGUGGCUGGGGAAGCGGGCACUGAAUGGGCACAGCCUCCGGAGAUGUCUGGGGAUUUGGGGCUUAUGGAUACUUCUGAUCCUGGGGUUUCUGCAGGAGCUGAUCCCAAUUGGGAUGCUUGGAGAAGGGAGGAUGGUUCUUUAAGUGUUCAUGGGGCUAAGUGUGGGCAGGAUGAUUGGGACUCCGACGAAUUGCUAGGUACUCCAGAUCCACGAGCUCUAGCUGUGUGGAGUUCAGACUCUGAGUAGAUUUGGGACACCUGGUGUUUGGGUGUGAGUGUUUGGUCACCCAGGAGGAAGGGGAAUAAAAUGGGAAUGUUUGGCCACUGUACUUUGCGUGUGGCAAGGUGUUGCUGAGGCGCCAUUGGGAUCUCUGUGUUUCCAUGAAGACUGAACUUGGACUAUGAUUUGAAUCUGCUGAUAUCAUCUAGCUUGGCUCUCGCUGUGUCUUAUCGUGGACCUGUUUUGGAUGACUGCACCCUCUUCGGACUUUGGAUUGAAUUUGACCUGGCUUCUGUCUACGCCCUCUGACUGACGGCUACUCCCGGCUUCUGACUAUUGGUUUGUCUUUCGGAAUUUCUGCUGCCUCCCGACCUGACCUUGGAUUCUUCUGACGACGGCUAUUCAUCAUCCCUUUGAGGCUCUCGGCUUAUCUGCACCGUGGAAGCAGCUUUACUGCUUUUCUAGUUUGUUUAUUUUCCAGCAAUUAACUCUAUUUGUUUUCCAAAGCUGAAUUGAAGCGUUAUUUAGUUUUUUAUUGAAUGCCAGCAUGGGAAAUUAGCGUGGCUCGUUUUUGAGUUAUUAUUGUCCAAUCUACUCUCGAAACACUGAAAAGUGAAGUGUUUCAAGGAUAUUUCCUGUGUUUAUGUUAUUUUUUGGCUUAUCUUUGGAAUAAACUUUGUUUUGUAUGUUAACUGG